Long non-coding RNA from Coffea eugenioides, 364 nucleotides. RefSeq lists it as uncharacterized. The record is from RefSeq and is a predicted model, not a curated record. The transcript is spliced from 3 exons. NCBI's taxonomy places the organism in Eukaryota, Viridiplantae, Streptophyta, Magnoliopsida, Gentianales, Rubiaceae.
GAAAAUUUCAUUCCAUUAGAUCACCAAUUCAAGGGAGACAAAAUUAACUACAGAGAAUGCUGGAGUUGUGUUUCAAAAUUGAGAAAAUAAAGGCGAGGCAGUUUCAUUUUGAAUGAGGCCUCUAUCUGCAAUUCUAUAUAGAGGAGUUUUUGUACCUGGGAUAUUACAAGACAUAUUGGAAUCAACCAUGUAGCUGUUGGUUAAAGACGCGAAAUUUUCAAAAGAAACUUUGUACUUUAUAUUGCUUUAUUUAGAAAUUUCUUGUGAAAGCACAAAAGGCUCCUUUUGGCAGCAUUUUAAGAUUCAAGAUCCAUCAUUCUUGCAAUCUUGCAAUCUUGCCUUCUUCACCAAAUGAGGCUGAUAA